Mirounga angustirostris (Northern elephant seal) is the source of this 3624-nucleotide long non-coding RNA. RefSeq lists it as uncharacterized. NCBI's taxonomy places the organism in Eukaryota, Metazoa, Chordata, Mammalia, Carnivora, Phocidae. The transcript has 3 exons. The record is from RefSeq and is a predicted model, not a curated record.
GGAAUAGCAAGUAGGAUGUGAUUAUGGGAUGAAAGGUAUCCACAUGUGCAUACAUCGAAGACUCUAGGUCUUUGGAAGGUAUGGGUUAAUAUAGGAAGGGUCCCUUUAAGAGUUAGGUUUUGACCUGAGGGCUGGAGGGGAGAAUAUGGAAAAUUUUAGACAAAGACCACAAAAAGAAGGAAGAUAAUCAUCUAAAUAAGUUAGGCAGAAGGGGAUGAAGUUAGGUGUUCAUUAGCAGGGAAGCUUUCAGGGAAAGAACCACAUCCUAUGUAGCUUAAGCAAAAGUAGGAAUUGAUCAGAUUAGCUCACGGAAGUGAAAUCCAGGCUAAUCUUGCUUGGCUCCAGGCAGGGCUGGAUCCAGGGCUCAAAUGGUGUGGAAUGGGAGGGCCCCUACUGCUACCUGGUAGACAGAUUCUCUCCAAGUGGUAAGCAGGACUCACAUUAUUUAAGCUCAGUGACUCAGGAGAAAGCCUUUUCUGAGAACCCAGAUUUCAAAGAGGUCUCUGGCUUGACAUGGGUCACUGAUCCAACUCUCUCCCGGUCGCUGUGGUCCCGGAGCAAUUGGGGUGCACUGGGGAAGUCAGCUGAUUGAACCACAUGGAUGGGUUCACCACCACCAAGAGGAGUUUUGCUCCCAGCAGACAGGGCAAAUGAUGCGGGGUAGGCAACAGGAACACAGCCAGCCACGGUGGGUAGCGCCGGGCCUCACCUCCCACACCAUCUGCCAUCGCCUCAUGGGCAUCCAUACCUUCUGUUUCAGCUUGACACCAGCCCCCUGAGCCAACAGGACCCCCUGAGGUGAUUGUGGAGUCAUGUGAUCACAUGAGUUCCUGGAAACCCCAUCUUACAGCAGUCAGUUGUCAAGAGGACUGAAUGUAGACAGUUCCUUUGUUCCAAGGGAUUUGGAGCUAUGACAGAAUUCACCGAGUCCAAGGUCAGCGGAGUGAAGAGUGGAGUGACGGUAUUUCUCAGGCAGUAUUAAAUGAACGCAGCCACCAGGACAUUUGGGAUCUGGCUGUAGGUUGGAUGGAGUCUAAUGCUGGGGAGGUCACAGAGGAAGAGCUGUGACUUACCCCAGCUAACAUGCGGACCUGCUAUAUUGAGCUACUUGCACAGCUUCAUUUCCAGUGUCCUUCCCAUGUGCUGUAUGCGGUCUUCAGUGCAACAGAAUAUUAUUCUUUCUCCCUAGUAGAGAAAUCUCAUGCACACUUUUAGAGAAUUGUUUAUUUCCAGUAGGAAUCGGCACCCAUCCUGUGCUUGCUGUGGAUGCUUAGAAGACUUCUGGGUGAGGAGGCACAUGGGGCUGGGGCAUGCACCAGUGGCAAGAACAAGCACAGAUUACUAGAAUGCUUUAGAAAGCCUUUUCUGCUUCAGAUAAGUGGCUAAUUAAAUUUGGGGUUGGCUAUUGGAAGAGUGCCAAUUAUGGAAACGAGCAUCUGUUGAUCACACUUUGCUUUCAGGCGUUUGGCUCCUUACUAGAGUGCUGUUGGAGAGAGAGCAGGGAACUGCUGCUAGAACCACGAGAGGAAAACAUGGUAGGAGGAGUGAUUCAUCAUAUUUACUUUGAGGCGUUCGUCUUGUAACAAGAUUAAUUCAGUAGGACUCAACUUCCAGAGAAAAAUGGACCGUUUAUUGUUUUAGAUUCAGGCUUAGGCACAGCAGGUGGAUUUUCCAAAUUGCCGCAUCUGACAUUUCCUAGAAAUAUAAGCUAGCAUUAUUCCAUUUUUUGGCAACUACAAAGUUCUAUUUGAACAUUCUACAAGUCAGUUGGCAGGGCUGGGAAUUUCGAGCACUUAACUAUCACUCUUGAGCUUGAGCUUGAUUUUUGUCAAGUGAUUUUUAACCAUGAGACAUUCCUUUUUUAGAUCUGGAAAUCAUCUCAGAAAAUGUAAGUCAUUUGCCAAAGGUCACUGAAUAAUAUACAGAUUAGAGCUGGGAACUGAUGAAUAUUGAUUGGAAUCCAGUUCUCUUAUAUCUCGGAGUCACUUAUGGCAAGUGACUGCGUAAUUUGUGAUAUGUGUAACUUUGUUCAGCACAUGGAAUCCGUGCAGAUUUUUGACAUGUGUCUUCUCCUGGCUUUUCCCCCUGGUACUUCAAGGCCUUGCUUAUUGUGAUGUCUGCUCUUACCAGAAGUGAGAAUGGAAAGCUGUAAACCAUAUGUACUCUUCUUCUAGAAGCAAACUUUCCUGCUGUGUUGGGCAGACACAACAGGCAAAUCCACUUUGCCAGCAGUAAUACCGCUGUCCAGAUCCUGACGAACCUCUAGGAAAAAAAAGAGAUUCUUUUGUCAGACACAGAUCCUGAGGUUUUUCCUCCAAUGCUGUCAGAUGAAAGAGAGGACUCCUCUCCUGGCUCGACCCAUAACGCCAGCUCUGUCUGCUCAUCAUGUCCGUUGCCCAAAGCUGGAGAAGCAGCAAGGAGCCAUCAGAGAUAUGGGAGUGAUCUGUCCCCGGCCAUUGUCAUGAUCCCUUGGACAUCCUCCUCCUGGGCAUGUGAAUGGAUUUGGAGAUAGUUUGACAGGAAAUUUCCGAGUUGACUGCCAUCUUAGGGGUUGAAUCUGUUUUCAGCUUCACUCUGGGUUUCACCACACGUAUGAAAGAAAGACGAUUCCAGUAGGACUUAAAAAAGAAAAGCCAGCCUGACUUCUAUGAUCCAAUUUUGCAUCGUGGAUGCGUUUUCUUCCUGGAGGGAGUCAUGUGAUUUCUCCCCUUCUCACCAUCCUGCAUUCUUUUCAUUCUGAGGCCUGGUCACAUCAGGACAGAAGCCUUCAUCCUCAGGCUCUGGGGGAUGAAUGGGCGGCAUGCCCCACUCUGGCUCUGCCUUAAGUUUCUUCCAAACAAGAGAGGAGACAAACGGGUGUGUAACUCAACAUAAUCCGGGGCAAGAUAUGAUCCAGACCAUGAGAGAAAAAUAAACAGUGUGCUGAUGGAAAAUUAAUCUUAUUAGAGAAGAUUUAUUUGUGGUGACAUUUGAAAUGAGCCUGAAAAACUAGUCGGAUUUUGACAGACGGUAGAGUGUCACUAGUAUUAUUACGGUAUUCAUGUCCAAUAAUAGCUAAAUGAAUCUGUAUCUGUUGAGGACAUUUGGAGGCUUUUGGCCUCCACAUGAUGUUCUACUGGCAGGAAUACCCCAGCUAUCCUUUGGAGGAUCAACUUUCUCUCUCGCACUCUCAACCCAAGUGGUUUGAAUCGGGCUGAUCCUGCCCCCUACACCCGCUCCCUUAGACAUGUGACCCAGCCUAGCCAAUAAGAGAACCACAUUCUCUCUACCACAGUGAUCGGUUCGGGGGUGGGUGUGUGACCCAAGUUGGACCAGUUCUGGAGCUUUUUCUAGAACCAUUGCCCAAGAGGCAUCAUCUUUCUGCUGGGAUUGUCACACUGGUAGGUAGUAAUUUAGGAGCUGCAAGGGGCCUGUUUUGUUACCACAGAGGAGAACCCGAGAGAUGGAGAGAUUCCUGAGCACCUGGAUCCAGUCAUGCCUGCAACUCAGCUGUUGGAGGUUUUAGUCAGUCAAGCCAAUAAAUUCACUUUGUAAUAAGCCAUUUUGUGUUUUUUUCCCUUGCAAACGGAAAAAGUCCUAACCACUACAGAAUUAUUUUUCUUUUUUAAAGAUAUUUUAUUUGUU